AGCUCUAAUAGCGUAUAUUAAAGUUGUUGCAGUUAAAGCUCGUAGUCGGAUUUCGGGCUCGGGCAGGCUGUCGGCCUCGGUCGGACGGCAGGCUCGGGCCUUUCUGCCUGGGGACUCCGUCACACUUAAUUGUGGGGCGGCUGGACGCAGGCCGUUUACUUUGAAAAUUAGAGUGUUCAAAGCAGGCCUACGCUUGAAUACAUUAGCAUGGAAUAAUGGAAUAGGACUUUGGUGCUAUUUUGUUGGUUUAUGGGACCGAAGUAAUGAUUAACAGGGACAGUUGGGGCCGUUUA
Molecule: ribosomal RNA, 293 nt
Filed under: uncultured eukaryote
Lineage: Eukaryota
Description: partial small subunit ribosomal RNA
Rfam family: Eukaryotic small subunit ribosomal RNA
Source: RNAcentral